RNAcentral lists this ribosomal RNA (270 nucleotides) under uncultured archaeon. RNAcentral describes it as "partial 16S ribosomal RNA". It matches the Rfam family "Archaeal small subunit ribosomal RNA", at positions 477 to 747 of the family's 1478-position model. The record is from RNAcentral.
CAGCACCUCAAGUGGUCAGGAUGAUUAUUGGGCCUAAAGCAUCCGUAGCCGGCGCUGUAAGUUUUCGGUUAAAUCUGUAUGCUCAACAUACAGGCUGCCGGGAAUACUGCAGAGCUAGGGAGUGGGAGAGGUAGACGGUACUCGGUAGGAAGGGGUAAAAUCCUUUGAUCUAUUGAUGACCACCUGUGGCGAAGGCGGUCUACCAGAACACGUCCGACGGUGAGUGAUGAAAGCUGGGGGAGCAAACCGGAUUAGAGACCCGAGUAGUCC